UGCGCGGUAAACAAAAAAACUGAAAUCGCCAAACAUAUUAUUUCGCCUUGUUCAUUUAUUUUAAUAAUUUAAGAACUUUUAAGCAUACACACGUUCCUGAGUGGUUACAUAACACACACCCACCUUGGCCCUCCGCAAACGACCAUCAAAGUGCAUUUACCCUGCAUUUGUUUCUCCACCCAAUAAAUAUAGAAUUAAAUGCAUCAUAUGUUCUGGAUACACUGCUCAAAAUUUGUUU
This is a non-coding RNA of Drosophila melanogaster (fruit fly), 238 nucleotides long. Lineage: Eukaryota; Metazoa; Arthropoda; Insecta; Diptera; Drosophilidae. The record is from Ensembl.